AACUAUGUAGCUCAGUUGGGUAGAGCAAUCGACUAAUCAUCGAUGGGUCGCAGGUUCAAAUCCUGCCCUAGUUACCG
Molecule: transfer RNA, 77 nt
Filed under: Ketobacter sp. GenoA1
Lineage: Bacteria; Pseudomonadati; Pseudomonadota; Gammaproteobacteria; Pseudomonadales; Ketobacteraceae
Also listed under: 1 other name
Description: Alcanivoracaceae bacterium GenoA1_TS13_700 tRNA-Ile
Rfam family: tRNA
About the family: Transfer RNA (tRNA) molecules are approximately 80 nucleotides in length.
Source: RNAcentral